GAUGAACGCUGGCGGCGUGCUUAACACAUGCAAGUCGAACGAUGAAGCCCAGCUUGCUGGGUGGAUUAGUGGCGAACGGGUGAGUAACACGUGAGUAACCUGCCCUUGACUCUGGGAUAAGCCUGGGAAACUGGGUCUAAUACUGGAUAUGACUUCUCAUCGCAUGGUGGGGGGUGGAAAGAUUUAUUGGUCUUGGAUGGACUCGCGGCCUAUCAGCUUGUUUGUGAGAUAAUGGCUCACCAAGGCGACGACGGGUAGCCGGCCUGAGAGGGUGACCGGCCACACUGGGACUGAGACAAGGCCCAGACUCCUACGGGAGGCAACAGUGGGGAAUAUUGCACAAUGGGCGCAAGCCUGAUGCAGCGACGCCGCGUGAGGAAUGACGGCCUUCGAGUUAUAAACCUCUGUCAAUAGGGAAGAAGCGAGAGUGACGGUACCUGCAGAAGAAGCGCCGGCUAACUACGUG
Molecule: ribosomal RNA, 466 nt
Filed under: uncultured bacterium
Lineage: Bacteria
Description: partial 16S ribosomal RNA
Rfam family: Bacterial small subunit ribosomal RNA
Source: RNAcentral